RNAcentral lists this transfer RNA (73 nucleotides) under Candidatus Woesearchaeota archaeon. RNAcentral's name for it is "tRNA-Gln". It matches the Rfam family "tRNA". From Rfam's summary of the family: Transfer RNA (tRNA) molecules are approximately 80 nucleotides in length. Their secondary structure includes four short double-helical elements and three loops (D, anti-codon, and T loops). Lineage: Archaea; Nanobdellati; Candidatus Woesearchaeota. The record is from RNAcentral.
AGCCCCGUAGUAUAGUGGCCAAGUAUGCGAGGCUUUGGACCUUGAGACCCCGGUUCGAAUCCGGGCGGGGCUA